Molecule: long non-coding RNA, 3322 nt
Organism: Metopolophium dirhodum (rose-grain aphid)
Lineage: Eukaryota; Metazoa; Arthropoda; Insecta; Hemiptera; Aphididae
Exons: 5
Source: RefSeq, a predicted model, not a curated record
AAUAUAAUUCCAUGAGUAUUCUAAGAACGACUUCUUUAUGUUUCAAACACUCGCGACUACAAAAAUAAAAGGGUAUCGGGUGCGGUUAAACAGUCGGCCCCGUAUGCGUUUGUAUAAUAUCACGCACCGGAACCGUUUACGAGAGCGGAUUGGUUUGCGGGGUGUGCCUUAAAAAAGGUUGUAAAAUAUAAAUUGCGUAUCGUCCGCGGGCGAACAAAAAAAUGUUCACUUGUUAUUUUGAUUGCAAAUGACCGCAGAACGCAUAAUAAGACGUCCUGCAGCGGCGCGAGCGUGUUAAAAAAAAUACAAAGUGUGCAAAAAAAAAAAAUUGGAACAAAAAUGUGUCGAAAUAUUUGCUACCGGAUUUUUAUUUUUUUUUGUUAUAAAACCGAUUUCACGCUACUCAAGGUCUAACGUGCACUACUGUUUGGAUAGUCGGACGAGUCUCCCGGGCAGCGGCGGCGGCGGCCGUGGAGCGAACAGAAUCGAAAUGCAGGCAUUGUCAACGGGUCCCGAGGUUAGGGGUACGUAUGCAAGACCUACCUUUAAUACCUACGCACACACACGUACAUACAUAUAUAUAUAUAACAUAACCUACACAUAAAUGUGCAUACGUGUGCAGCCCGAGUUUGCAAUGUAGGCACAGCGCGUAUAUUAUAUGCUGCUGCAGGCACCGCGUGCAGUGGCAAUGAUGGCGGUGUCCCCGGGUGAGGCCUAUUGUGAGGACGAUACAGUAUUAUAUUAUUAUAUACCUGAGGGUGUCCAAAAGACAAACAAAGGGGAUGCCGAAAACGAGUUUCACCUUUGGAAACUUUCACUUUACGUUAUUUAUUGCCCCGCGUGCGUGCGUCCGCGUGUAUUAUUGUACACGGGCACAAUAAUGCCGAUGACAGUGCACGUACCCACACGUGUAAAAUAUGUGUAUGGUACCUAGGCCCCGAGUCAAAAUUCGUCGCAUUUCGUCGAACGCGUCCGCGCUGGAAUCAUCACCGUCGUCCAACUCCACCGUCGCCGCCGCCGCCAAACAUCAUAUUUUACAAUGUGCCCCUUUGAUUCAAUUUGUGAGUGAAUUUGAUGGAUCGCUACGGGUUUUCAGUGCAUAAUACUGCAUGGCGGUCAUUAUUCCGUACCUAUACUCAGUAUUACUGUACUUGCUGUACCUACUCGGUUUCAGUAGCCACGCAGUUCGUUAUGGAGCUUAAUGUUAGUCGCUAUAAUAGAUUUGUCGAGUGAACGCGUUCGAGAAUCCUGCAGAACACCGAAUACGUCAUGAUAAUAUGAAUAACAAUAUAAUAAUAGUAUCGUGGUUCGUCGUUUAUCUAUAACUGGUGCACAGCCGCCGCAGAGGUCGUUUAUUUAUAGUUUUUGAUGACUGACUACUUUGUUAAAUUCAUUUUUUUUUAAUCGUAUAAAUUGUUACGCUCCCGACAUAUUUGCAUAAAACAAUGGAAUUAUUAAAACUAUAUUCAAACGUAGCUGUGAACAUUAUACACAUUUAAGCGUAGGGUCAUCUCGCGGAUACACGACGACGACGACUACGUUUUUUACUCGCGGAUCUUUUCCGUCCUGCGUGCGCUCUCGAAACGUGUAUAUACUUGUAUGUAUUAAACGCGUGUCCAUAUAGGUACAUAUAUAAUAUAUAUAUAUGUACAUUUAAUUUUUUUCAAAACAUCGGCCGUGUUAUAUAUUUAUAUAUAUAUAUACCUACGUAUAUGCUUAUAAUAUCAUACAGAACGUACCUGCAGCAGCCUACGCACCGCAUACGACUUGGGAGAAUACUGCAGCUCAGAUUACAAUCGCGCGGGUAAUCAGCAAUCGCGCACUAUAACUGUGUUGCUAAUAAUAUAUUAUAUUGUGUAUGUACUACAUAGGUACACUCAUUUAUUGUAGUUCACGCGUGUAAUUUUUUUUUAACGUCUAAUUAGCGAUUGCAUUUUUUUUUUCAGGCCAAACACUCCACGCGUUGGGUUUAUAAACGAACAUACCCGACAACAUCAACUGGACUAAACGAUAAUAAUUAUAUGAAAUACGAUAUCGGAUAUGCACGCGCGAAUCAAAAAAAAAUAAUAUAAUAUAUUGCAUUAUACCUAUUAUGCCUAUGUGUACCCACUUUAAUUUACACCAACCGCUUUGUUGUACCGCUUACAUCAACAUUAAUAUAUUAUAUAAAUUUACAUUUGUAUAUUGAGUAGAAUAAUUUAUAAUACACAUCUAUCCAUAUUAUGUCUAAUUAAAAUGUAUUUUUUUACAUAAUUAGUGUAUGUAUAAGAUUAUAAGAACGUUGUGUAUUUAUACACGUAUAUUGUAUGUAUGCUGAACGAGCAAUAAUUGAAUACAUCAUCAUAGGUACUAUAGUGUGGUUAAAUUAAUUAUUUUCCGAUUUGCCGUUGAAAGGAAAUCGAGCAAUCAGUUGUUUAUGCAUGAAUAAGUAUAUAUUAUACCUAUACCGAAAGCCGGGUUAUGUAUACUAUAUUAUAAUCAUCAAUCAAUAUGUUUUAACUCGCCGAAUAUGUAUAAUGUAUAUCUACCGUAGAGUAAAUUAUCAAUUUAUAUACUUGUAUUAUAGUUUAAUGAAUUUAUAAUAAACAUCAUCAUAAUCGCAUAUAAAGAUUAAAAACACACAAAAAAUUUAAACUGUAUAAAUUAUAAUAUUUGAUCGAUGUAAGUAUAAUGGAUGUUUAUAAUAUAUUAUAUGUAUAACUCAAAAAUUUAUAUUAUAGGCUAGGUAUACCUAAUAUAUAAAUUAUAUAGGUAAACGUAAUCUAUACAUUAUUUAAUAAUAUUGUGGGCUAUUUCUUGAAUAAUUAUGUUUGAUAUAAAUGUAUGAUUAAUUAAGUGUCGAGAGGUAUAAAAUAUCUGAGAGAAAUGUAUAACAAUUUAUUUUUUUUUAAUUGUAUUUAGUUUUAAUAUUUUAAUGUCAUCUUGCACCAGUCAAUCGGAACUUUUAUCGCACAUUUUUAUAAAUAUUUAAAAAAAUUAUUGUAACAAAUUUACAGUAUUGUACCUACUUUAUAAAAUUCUCUAUGUAUUCUGGAACCUAUAGAGUUACUAUAAUAUUACCUAUAAUAUAUUACAUUAUGACCAAUAAUUAAUAUUAAAAGUUAUGGAAUUUGUAUUCGGAAUUAAUAGGAUAAUACUAGCUGGAAUAUGUAAUUAAAUUAUUUUAUAAAUAGUCAGAAAAUUAUCUAUCAAAAUAUCUGAAGCUACGAUUUUGCCACUAUCUCAGACGAAUAUUGAAGUGCAUAAAAAAACUAAAUCGCCACAGGACAUCUUUGGAGCGGCGUUAGAGUGCGGACGUCAUAGUCUAAUAAUAAUUAUUGUA